AGAGUUUGAUCCUGGCUCAGAAUCAACGCUGGCGGCGUGCCUAACACAUGCAAGUCGAACGAGAAAGGGGAGCAAUCCCUGAGUAAAGUGGCGACCGGGUGAGUAACACGUGACUAACCUACCCUUGAGUGGGGGAUAACCUCGGGAAACCGGGGCUAAUACCGCAUAACAUCCUUGAAGUGGAAACUUUGGGGAUCAAAGGAGCAAUUCGCUUAAGGAGGGGGUCGCGGCUGAUUAGCUAGUUGGCGGGGUAACGGCCCACCAAGGCUUUGAUCGGUAGCCGGCCUGAGAGGGCGCACGGCCACACUGGAACUGAAACACGGUCCAGACUCCUACGGGAGGCAGCAGUGGGGAAUUUUGCGCAAUGGGGGAAACCCUGACGCAGCAACGCCGCGUGGAGGAUGAAGUCCCUUGGGACGUAAACUCCUUUCGACCGGGAAAAUUAUGAUGGUACCGGUGGAAGAAGCACCGGCUAACUCUGUGCCAGCAGCCGCGGUAAUACAGAGGGUGCGAGCGUUGUUCGGAAUUAUUGGGCGUAAAGGGCGCGUAGGCGGUACGGUAAGUCACCUGUGAAACCUCUGGGCUUAACUCAGAGCCUGCAGGCGAAACUGCCGUGCUGGAGGGUGGGAGAGGUGCGUGGAAUUCCCGGUGUAGCGGUGAAAUGCGUAGAUAUCGGGAGGAACACCUGUGGCGAAAGCGGCGCACUGGACCACUACUGACGCUGAGGCGCGAAAGCUAGGGGAGCAAACAGGAUUAGAUACCCUGGUAGUCCUAGCCCUAAACGAUGAUUGCUUGGUGUGAUCGGUACCCAAUCCGAUCGUGCCGCAGCUAACGCGAUAAGCAAUCCGCCUGGGGAGUACGGUCGCAAGGCUGAACUCAAAGGAAUUGACGG
Molecule: ribosomal RNA, 892 nt
Filed under: uncultured bacterium
Lineage: Bacteria
Description: bacterial SSU rRNA
Rfam family: Bacterial small subunit ribosomal RNA
Source: RNAcentral